UUGACUCUUGGUCUUAUUUAAAAAUUUUUUGUGAUUAAUAUUUUUAUUCUUACUAGAUGAUAAAAUAUGAAUGGUAUUUUAUGGGUGACUAAUUUUUUUAAGUUUUUUUACAAAAUUUUUAAAUAAGACGAACGGUCAA
RNAcentral lists this microRNA precursor (139 nucleotides) under Oryza brachyantha (malo sina). RNAcentral describes it as "MIR812 microRNA precursor family". It matches the Rfam family "MIR812 microRNA precursor family", at positions 34 to 172 of the family's 205-position model. Lineage: Eukaryota; Viridiplantae; Streptophyta; Magnoliopsida; Poales; Poaceae. The record is from Rfam by way of RNAcentral.